UACGUAGGGGGCAAGCGUUAUCCGGAAUUACUGGGUGUAAAGGGAGCGUAGACGGUAAUGUAAGUCUGGAGCGAAAGGCGGGGGCUCAACCCCCGGACUGCUCUGGAAACUAUGUUACUAGAGUGCAGGAGAGGUAAGCGGAAUUCCUAGUGUAGCGGUGAAAUGCGUAGAUAUUAGGAGGAACACCAGUGGCGAAGGCGGCUUACUGGACUGUAACUGACGUUGAGGCUCGAAAGCGUGGGGAGCAAACAGG
This 253-nucleotide ribosomal RNA is filed under the name uncultured bacterium. RNAcentral's name for it is "partial 16S ribosomal RNA". It matches the Rfam family "Bacterial small subunit ribosomal RNA", at positions 524 to 776 of the family's 1533-position model. The record is from RNAcentral.